AACGAACGCUGGCGGCAUGCCUAACACAUGCAAGUCGAACGAGAUCUUCAGGUCCAGUGGCGCACGGGUGCAUAACGCGUGGGAAUCUGCCCUUUGGUUCGGAAUAACAGUUGGAAACGACUGCUAAUACCGGAUGAUGACGAAAGUCCAAAGAUUUAUCGCCAGAGGAUGAGCCCGCGUAGGAUUAGCUAGUUGGUGUGGUAAAGGCGCACCAAGGCGACGAUCCUUAGCUGGUCUGAGAGGAUGAUCAGCCACACUGGGACUGAGACACGGCCCAGACUCCUACGGGAGGCAGCAGUGGGGAAUAUUGGACAAUGGGCGAAAGCCUGAUCCAGCAAUGCCGCGUGAGUGAUGAAGGCCUUAUGGUUGUAAAGCUCUUUUACCCGGGAUGAUAAUGACAGUACCGGGAGAAUAAGCUCCGGCUAACUCCGUGCCAGCAGCCGCAGUAA
This 449-nucleotide ribosomal RNA is filed under the name uncultured bacterium. Its description in RNAcentral is "partial 16S ribosomal RNA". It matches the Rfam family "Bacterial small subunit ribosomal RNA", at positions 29 to 523 of the family's 1533-position model. The record is from RNAcentral.